GAUGAACGCUGGCGGCGUGCCUAAUACAUGCAAGUCGAGCGAACAGACGAGGAGCUUGCUCCUUUGACGUUAGCGGCGGACGGGUGAGUAACACGUGGGUAACCUACCUAUAAGACUGGGAUAACUUCGGGAAACCGGAGCUAAUACCGGAUAAUAUUUCGAACCGCAUGGUUCGAUAGUGAAAGCUGGCUCUGCUAUCACUUAUAGAUGGACCUGCGCCGGAUUAGCUAGUUGGUAAGGUAACGGCUUACCAAGGCAACGAUACGUAGCCGACCUGAGAGGAUGAUCGGCCACACUGGAACUGAGACACGGUCCAGACUCCUACGGGAGGCAGCAGUAGGGAAUCUUCCGCAAUGGGCGAAAGCCUGACGGAGCAACGCCGCGUGAGUGAUGAAGGUCUUCGGAUCGUAAAACUCUGUUAUUAGGGAAGAACAAACGUGUAAGUAACUGUGCACGUCUUGACGUUACCUAAUCAGAAAGCCACGGCUAACUACGUG
RNAcentral lists this ribosomal RNA (497 nucleotides) under uncultured bacterium. RNAcentral's name for it is "partial 16S ribosomal RNA". It matches the Rfam family "Bacterial small subunit ribosomal RNA", at positions 28 to 507 of the family's 1533-position model. The record is from RNAcentral.